This 6342-nucleotide long non-coding RNA is filed under the name Homo sapiens (human). RNAcentral describes it as "non-protein coding lnc-RNF135-1:32". The record is from RNAcentral. Lineage: Eukaryota; Metazoa; Chordata; Mammalia; Primates; Hominidae.
AUUUUCUCUUUGUGGAGGCUGGGUUCGCGUGCUCUUCUGAGCUGUGGUCGUCAUGGACCGGAAGCGUGUGCGGCGCGCCUGCCUUGAGGCCAGCAUCAGGGAAGGGUGUCCCAGGUGCAGGCGAAGCUUCCUUCAGGUGCUCCUGGAGGACUUUUGGCUCGCAAGCGCUUCUCCAUUCUCCCAACGUCUCGGGCCUGAUGUUAUCAUCUCCCUAUCCUUGGCUGCACCUGAAAAGAGCAGGAGCCGGCAGGUAACCCGAUCGCCUCCCCCAGGAGGUGAAGUGAAAUCUGCAAGAGUCCUGCUCGUUCAAGGCCUGCAUACAGGAAAGAAGCAGGGGAAAAGCGUUAGAAACAGCUUUUGUUCUACAGCAUUUUAAAAUAUAAUAGGUAUAUUGAAAAGUCUGAUUCAGUUACAAUCAGUGUAUGGAAUCACAAGAAGAUCCAUAAGAAACAAGGUGCUGGAUUUCUCCGUUGUGUUCGUCUUUUUCCAGUGCCAUCAACCACCUCAAAGACACUGGUUAUCAGAGGUUGGAUUUAUGCAAACUUGGGCCAAAGGACAGUUAGAAGACAGUAGCUGAAGAAGCAUCUGUAGGGAAUCCAGAAGGAGCAUUCAUGAAGAUGUUACAAGCCCGGAAGCAGCACAUGAGCACUGAGCUGACUAUUGAGUCGGAGGCGCCCUCAGACAGCAGUGGCAUCAACUUGUCAGGCUUUGGGAGUGAGCAGCUAGACACCAAUGACGAGAGUGAUGUUAGCAGCGCACUAAGUUACAUCUUGCCUUAUCUCUCACUGAGAAAUCUAGGUGCAGAAUCAAUAUUGUUACCGUUCACUGAACAGCUAUUUUCAAAUGUACAAGAUGGAGAUAGGCUCCUGAGUAUUUUGAAAAACAAUAGAAAGAGCCCCUCACAGUCCAGCCUUCUAGGUAACAAAUUUAAAAACAAAAUAUUUGAAAAAAAAAUUAGAAACUGCGCAACCACAGGAAAACCGCCUGGCAAAGAUUCAAAGUGUAGGCAAAAACCUGCAGAGAGUGAACAGAGUCCUCAUGGGCCCAAGGAGCAUCCAGGAAAGGCACUUCAAAAAGGUGGGAAAGCACAGCACUAGGAAAGAACAGGAUGCCCAGGCAUUUGUGGACAAUGCUGCCAAAGGAAAAAGGCUUGAGGGUCCAGCCCCAAGGGAGCUGGAACAGCCUCACAUAGUGCAGGGGCCUGAGAAGGUAGUGGGAAACACCAUCUACACCAAGCCUUCAUUCACCCAAGAGCAUAAGGCAGCAGUCUCCUCUGUGCUGAAACCCUUCUCCAUGGGCGUGCCUUCUGCCUCUAGCCCUGCAAAAGCCCUACCUCAGGUCAGAGACAGAUCGAAAGACUUAGCCUACACCAUUUUAAUUUUAGAAAUGGCAAUGGCUAGAGUGAAAAACAUGAAGGCUGCUAAACCAAUCACACAUUCCAGAAAAAAAUAGCGCUUUUAUAAAACUCACUCCAUUGUGGCCCACAGAACACCCAAGGCCAAAAAGAUUAGAAAGUUUAGAAAGGGCAGUUAUCUCAACAGACCGAUGCUCGCAAAGAGGCCGCUGUUCUCUGCAGCAAAGAGCCUCAUACAUUCGCAAGGGAUUUUUUCAUCCUUAGGAGACCUGAGUCCUCAAGAAAACCCUCUUCUGGAAGUAGUUGCUCCUUCAGAACGUUUUACAGAAAACACUAAUGUAAAAGACACAACUAAUGUAAAAGACACAAAAGAGAUGUGUUCAAAGACACAUCUCUGAAAACACAAACUACAAUCAUCCUCCUGAGGCAGUUUCCGCUGGGACUGCAUUCAACUUAGAACCAACUGUUAAACAAACUGAGACAAAAUGGGAAUACAACAAUGUGGGCAUUGACUUGUCCCCUGAGCCCAAAAGCUUCAAUUACCCAUUGCUCUCGUCCCCAGGUGAUCAGCUUGAAAUUCAGCUAACCGAGCAGCUACGGUCCCUCAUCCCCAACGAGGAUGUGAGAAAGUUCAUGUCUCAUGUUAUCUGGACCUUGAAAAUGGAAUGUUCAGAAACACAUGUGCAAGGGAGCUGUGCCAAGCUCAUGUCGCGAACAGGCCUCCUGAUGAAGCUUCUCAGCGAGCAGCAGGAAGCAAAGGCAUUGAAUGUAGAAUGGGAUACGGACCAACAAAAAACAAAUUAUAUUAAUGAGAACAUGGAACAGAAUGAACAGAAAGAGCAGAAGUCAAGUGAGCUCAUGAAAGAAGUUCCAGGAUAUGACUAUAAGAACAAACUCAUCUUCGCAAUAUCUGUGACUGUCAUACUAAUAAUUUUGAUUAUAAUUUUUUGUUUUAUAGAGGUAAAGACAAUAAUUAAUUCAGGUUUUCAAAAUACAAUCCUGUGUUUGUGUGGAUUCAGAAUCCACAAACUGAAAACCAACGUCACUUUCCCACUUGACAUUCUUCUUCUGUCAUUUAAGGCUGAGGUGUGCUUUGUUCUUUUACUGCAAUGUAUAUUCCAGGAUUGUUAAAGGAUCCUCGCUUCCAGGAGGUCUCUGUGAAAUAAAACCAAGUUAAUCCCACUAGACUAUUUUAAGAAGUUAAGUUGAUAUAAUAGCAAAAUUUCUCCCACCCAAAACUAUGUCAACAAUUGGAUGUACUCACUGAGUCACCCCUUACUCUGCCACUAAUUUAUUUCCUUGUUGCUUAAAUGAUGAGAGACAUAUAAUCUCCACCCUCACGGAGUUGUCAUCACCCUGGAGAGGAAGAAGACAGCCAAAAGAGAGAAGUAUUGUCUUGUAGACUUACUAGAUUCACAUAGUAUCAUCCUUCUCCAGUGUGUAAGGUGUUGUCUAAAUAGGUCCAGUUAAAGAACUACAGGGUAGCCAUUUUUAAAAAAAAAUUUUGGCCACGUUUUCAAAUUCACAGGGGAGGGGGAAUGUCUCAUACUCCAGCCCUCCUGAGCCUAGGCCCUCUGUGAGAUGUGUCACCAUUUCUUGGACACCAUAUGAGACAUUCCCCCUCGGAUUAGAGAUGCUCAACCUGCAUCAACAAAUCUAAAGCCUGCAUCUGGCUACCCUGGGGCGAGUCCUGUUUACAGUGCCUAUUCCUGGAGCUCGCCUCUUUUUGCCUUUUGUUUGAUUAUGUGAUGUAUUACUUUUCCCAGCAGGCCAGUGCUAGCAUACUGGAAGAGGGAUUUAAUAAGCUGGCACCCUUGAUGCUAUGCUCCUAAUCCAACCUUAUUUGCCUCAUUGGCCAUUUCCAUUAUGGUGGCAGCCCUCCAUUCCAGCCACAGCAGCCCCUCAGCGUCCCCCAGUCACACUGUCCCCAUUGCUGCUCAUCUGUGCCUUUGUCCAUCUACAAUGCCCUUAUUUCACUCUGCCUGUGGGAGUCCUGUGAAUCUCUCCAAAGCCAACUCAGUUCAUCUUUCUGCUUGAAACCUUCCCUGAAUAGGCCAGGUGCGGUGGCUCACGCCUGUAAUCCCAGCACUUUGGGAGGCCAAGGCAGGCGGAUCACAAGGUCAGGAGAUCGAGACCAUCCUGGCUAACACAGACCAUUCUCUACUAAAAAUGCAAAAAAUUAGCUGGGUGUGGUGGCGGGCGUGUGUCGUCCCAGCUACUUGUGAGGCUGAAGCAGGAAAAUGGCAUGAACCUGGGAGGUGGAGCAUGCAGCCAGCCAAGAUCGGGCCGCUGCACUCCAGCCUGGGGGACAGAGCGAGACUCUGCCUCAAAAAAAAAAAAAAAAAGAAACUUCCCUGAAUAUUCCAGCCCUCCUGAGCCUAGUCCCUUUGUGAGAUUUGUCCCCAUUUCUUGGACACCAUAUAAGAGACUUCAGAGGCUGAAGUGGGAGGAUUGCUUGAGCCUGGGAGGUCGAGGAUGCAGUGAGCUGUGGUCAUACCACUGCACUCUAGCCUGGGCAACAGAGCGAGACCUUGUCUCAAAAACAGCCACCACCAAAAACUAUCUUGGGAUUUGAAUAGGAUUACCUUAAAUUUGUAGAUUAAUUUGAGAAUUGACAUCUGUACGACAUUCUAGAACAUGGUAUUUCAUGUCAUGUAUUCAUUUCUUGUUAAUGUCUUUCAGAAGAGUUUUAGGGUUUCCAUCAUAUAGAUCUUACACGUCUUUUGUUAGAUAACAGAUCUUUGUAUUUUUGUUCCUAAAUACUUCAGACAUUUGUAUUGCCAUUGUAAAUGGGAUCUUUCUUCCAUUUUCUAGUUAGUUAUUGGUGGUACAUCUGAAAAGCAUUUGAGGUUUGUGUGCUGCUCUCUUGAUUUUGUUUCUAGCCACCGUACUGAAUUCUCAUAUUACUUCCAGUAAAAUCUUAGUUGAUUCUCUUAGGCUUCUUUGGCUAACAUUUAUUAUUUUAUAUGCAAAUAAUUAUAGUUUUGUCUCUUCCUUUUCAAUACUUACACUCUUUCCUUCCUUUCCUUUCUUUUUUUUUUCUUUCUCAGGGCCUUGUUGUCACCCAGACUGGAGAGCAAUGGUGUGAUCUAGCUCACUGUAACCUCAAACUCCUGGGCUUAAGGGAUCCUCCUGCCUCAGCUUCCUGAGUGGCUGGGACUACAGGCAGGCAGUGAAUUUUAAAACUUUUGGUGUAGAGACAAGAUCUUGCUAUGUUGCCCAGGCUGGUUUUCCUGCCACUUUAGAGCAGGUUUCCUUUUUUUCAUACUUUUAAGAGGUUUUUAUUAGGAAUUGUCCAUUGAAUGUUAGCUAAAACAGUCAAUAAAAUGCGUUAAGUACCAGCUACAUGCAAGACCCUAAGUUAGAUACAGUCAGCCCUCUUCAUCAGCAGGUCCACAUCUUCAGAUUCAACUAGAUAAGGCUGAAUAUUUGAAGAAAAAAACAAUAAAAAUACAAUUAGAAAGUACAGUAUAACAACUGUUGCCAUGAUACAAUAUCUAUACAUUUUAUUAGUGAUGACCUAAAGUUCAUGGGACCAGGCACGGUGACUCACACUUGUAAUCCCAACACUUUGGGAGGCCAACCUGGGCAGCAUAGUGAGACCUUGUCUUUAAUAAAAAUAAAAAUAAAAAAAUUAGCUAGUGUGGUGGUAUGCACCUGUAGUCCCAGCUACUCAAGAGGCUGAGGUGGGCAGAUCACUGGAGCCCAGGAGGUUGCGGCUGCUGUGAGCUGUGAUUGUGACACUGCUCUCCAGCCUGAGUGACAGAGGGUGAUCCUGUCUCUAAGUAAGUAAAUAAAUAAAGUAUAUGGGGGGGAUGUGUGUUGGUUAUAUGCAAACACUGCACCAUUAUACGUAAGGGAUUGAGCAUCCACAGAUUCUGGUAUGGUGUGGAGGCGAUAUCCUAGAACCAGUCGUCUGCAAGGUAGCAAGGAUGACUGAACUGUGGAAGAAUCAAAGCACUGUUAAACAGCAUACAAUUCCUGUCUUCAAAAAAGUUAUCUCAUCGGGUAGAUGAGACUUAAAAUGAAUAAAAGGAAUGAAUACACAUUGGAGAUAGUGGUUGUUGUGAUAGAUAACCUUAAUUGUGUUUUCUUCCAAAACGGGUGAAUUCACAUAAAAGGGCAUCAGAAAAAUACAAAGACAACCCAUCAAUAUCAGGAGCCUGAGCAUGAGUUAAAGCAUGUGGAUGGCCUAGAGCCAUGUUUUUAAAAUUGUUAUUAAAUAUUGGUUUUUUACUUAAAUCAAUGAAAACUUUCUUUACUUUGUGGUUGUGUUCCUCAAAAUGAGAAUUUUUAACAAUAAUAAAAAUAAAGCUUAUUAGAUCAUUUUUAAUGGUAAUAAAUUGGUUACUGAAGAUUUGACUAAAGAGAAAACUAGGCCAAUCUAAGUAGAGUCCAAAUGAAGUAGAAAGUCCAUAGAGAACAGGCAAAAAGGAAGUUGUGGAACCACAGACAGUAAAAGGAAAAAAUUGGCGGGGCGCAAUGGCUCAUACCUGUAAUCCCAGCACUUUGGGAGGCUGAGGUGGGUGGAUCGCUUGAGCCCAGUUCAGGCAACAUGACAAAACCCCCACCUCUACAAAAAAAAUAGUCAACAUGACAAAACCCCCAAUGUCUACAAAAAAAUACACAAAACAUAUGAGCCAGGGGUGGUGGUGUGCACUUGUAGUCCUAGCUACUUGGUAGGCUGAGGUGGGAGUAUCGCUUGAACCUGGGAGGUGGAGGUUGCAGUAAGCUGAGGUUGAGCUGUUAUACCCCAACCUGGGUGACAGUUGAAAGAGUGAGACCCUGUCUUUAAAAAAAAAAAAAAAAGGAAGAAAGCAAAGAAAAAAAAAUUUAUUUUUGUGACAAGUUCUCUUUCUGUCUCCCAAGCUGGAGUGCAAUGGCAUAAUCAUAGCCCACUGCAGCCUCAAACUCCUGGGCUCAAGGCAUCCUCCUGCCAUAAAGGCCUCCCAAAGUGUUGGGAUUACAGGCAUAAGCCACUGUGAGGC